UUUCUUUUCUUGGCGUCGCCACGCGAGCCGCACGGCGGCCGCGCAGCGCACCCCCGCCCGCCGCGAGAGAAAUUUUUGUAGAAAAUGUAUGUGAAAAAAGACGGGAAACGGUCCGAGGACUCGACGGUGAUUGGCCAUGCACGAGGAGGCGGGAGCCACAGGCAACACACUGCAGCGACGACAUCGAGUUUGGUAGAGAGGCGCGAGAAUGUUGGCGCGACAAGCGGACCCUACCGCAGCCGCGCCGCGCCCCGUCGCCAACACGGACAGCAGCCAAAUGUUGCAAAAAACCAAGAUAUAUCCACAUAAAAUCCAGGAUAAAUCGUGGCAUUAACGUGUCGAAAAUCCAGGAUAAAUCAGAGCAUAAAAAGGCGCAACAGGGA
This 383-nucleotide long non-coding RNA is filed under the name Pandoravirus salinus. RNAcentral's name for it is "putative ncRNA". The record is from RNAcentral.